UACGGGGGGAGCAAGCGUUGUUCGGAUUUACUGGGCGUAAAGGGCGCGUAGGCGGCCACCGCAAGUCGGUUGUGAAAUCUCUGGGCUUAACCCAGAAAGGUCAACCGAUACUGCGGGGCUAGAGUGCAGAAGGGGCAACUGGAAUUCCCGGUGUAGUGGUGAAAUGCGUAGAUAUCGGGAGGAACACCAGUGGCGAAGGCGACUUCCUGGCCUGUUCUUGACGCUGAGGCGCGAAAGCUAGGGGAGCAAACGGG
RNAcentral lists this ribosomal RNA (254 nucleotides) under uncultured bacterium. Its description in RNAcentral is "partial 16S ribosomal RNA". It matches the Rfam family "Bacterial small subunit ribosomal RNA", at positions 524 to 776 of the family's 1533-position model. The record is from RNAcentral.